RNAcentral lists this ribosomal RNA (1130 nucleotides) under Microbacterium arborescens. Its description in RNAcentral is "bacterial SSU rRNA". It matches the Rfam family "Bacterial small subunit ribosomal RNA", at positions 79 to 1224 of the family's 1533-position model. Lineage: Bacteria; Bacillati; Actinomycetota; Actinomycetes; Micrococcales; Microbacteriaceae. The record is from RNAcentral.
AUUGCUCUGUGGAUCAGUGGCGAACGGGUGAGUAACACGUGAGCAAUCUGCCCCUGACUCUGGGAUAAGCGCUGGAAACGGCGUCUAAUACCGGAUACGAGCUGCGACCGCAUGGUCAGUAGCUGGAAAGAAUUUCGGUCAGGGAUGAGCUCGCGGCCUAUCAGCUUGUUGGUGAGGUAAUGGCUCACCAAGGCGUCGACGGGUAGCCGGCCUGAGAGGGUGACCGGCCACACUGGGACUGAGACACGGCCCAGACUCCUACGGGAGGCAGCAGUGGGGAAUAUUGCACAAUGGGCGAAAGCCUGAUGCAGCAACGCCGCGUGAGGGAUGACGGCCUUCGGGUUGUAAACCUCUUUUAGCAGGGAAGAAGCGAAAGUGACGGUACCUGCAGAAAAAGCGCCGGCUAACUACGUGCCAGCAGCCGCGGUAAUACGUAGGGCGCAAGCGUUAUCCGGAAUUAUUGGGCGUAAAGAGCUCGUAGGCGGUCUGUCGCGUCUGCUGUGAAAACCCGAGGCUCAACCUCGGGCCUGCAGUGGGUACGGGCAGACUAGAGUGCGGUAGGGGAGAUUGGAAUUCCUGGUGUAGCGGUGGAAUGCGCAGAUAUCAGGAGGAACACCGAUGGCGAAGGCAGAUCUCUGGGCCGUAACUGACGCUGAGGAGCGAAAGGGUGGGGAGCAAACAGGCUUAGAUACCCUGGUAGUCCACCCCGUAAACGUUGGGAACUAGUUGUGGGGUCCAUUCCACGGAUUCCGUGACGCAGCUAACGCAUUAAGUUCCCCGCCUGGGGAGUACGGCCGCAAGGCUAAAACUCAAAGGAAUUGACGGGGACCCGCACAAGCGGCGGAGCAUGCGGAUUAAUUCGAUGCAACGCGAAGAACCUUACCAAGGCUUGACAUAUAGAGGAAACGUCUGGAAACAGUCGCCCCGCAAGGUCUCUAUACAGGUGGUGCAUGGUUGUCGUCAGCUCGUGUCGUGAGAUGUUGGGUUAAGUCCCGCAACGAGCGCAACCCUCGUUCUAUGUUGCCAGCACGUAAUGGUGGGAACUCAUGGGAUACUGCCGGGGUCAACUCGGAGGAAGGUGGGGAUGACGUCAAAUCAUCAUGCCCCUUAUGUCUUGGGCUUCACGCAUU